UCAAAUGUUCAACAUGCGCUACACGUAGUUCCAAAUAGCUUUUCCAUAUUUUAUAGCUUCCCGGGAGUUCUGAACAAGCUCUUUCAAAUAAAAGCACACGCUUUUCCAAAGUAGAUCCUUCAUGGGUCUUUAUAUAUCGUAACCAACUUUUCAGAGAAUAUGGAUCACGUAGCAAUUCAAGCUCAAACGGCUCGUCAUCAACAUUAAUUAGAUCAAAAUUAACUUUCAGUGGAA
Molecule: non-coding RNA, 234 nt
Organism: Schizosaccharomyces pombe (fission yeast)
Lineage: Eukaryota; Fungi; Ascomycota; Schizosaccharomycetes; Schizosaccharomycetales; Schizosaccharomycetaceae
Source: the annotation of a GenBank genome assembly